This 299-nucleotide signal recognition particle RNA is filed under the name Aotus nancymaae (Ma's night monkey). Its description in RNAcentral is "Metazoan signal recognition particle RNA (ENSANAG00000008786.1)". It matches the Rfam family "Metazoan signal recognition particle RNA". Rfam says of the family: The signal recognition particle (SRP) is a universally conserved ribonucleoprotein. Lineage: Eukaryota; Metazoa; Chordata; Mammalia; Primates; Aotidae. The record is from RNAcentral.
GCCAGGUGAGGUGGCAUGUGCCUGUAGUCCCAACUACUCGGGAAGCUGAGGCUGGAGGAUCUCUUGAGCCCAGGAGUUCUGGGCUGUAGUGCGCUAUGCCGAUCGGGUGUCCUCAGUAAGUUCGGCAUCAAUAUGGUGACCUCCCGGGAGCGGGGGACCACCAGGUUGCCUAAGGAGGGGUGAACCGGCCCAGGUCGGAAACGGAGCAGGUCAAAACUCCCGUGCUGAUCAGUAGUGGGAUCGCGCCUGUGAAUAGCCACUGCACUCCAGUCUGGGCAACAUAGCAAGACCCCGUCUCU